Long non-coding RNA from Vidua chalybeata, 766 nucleotides. RefSeq lists it as uncharacterized. Lineage: Eukaryota; Metazoa; Chordata; Aves; Passeriformes; Viduidae. The transcript is spliced from 3 exons. The record is from RefSeq and is a predicted model, not a curated record.
CGCCGGGUGCCAUCUUGGGGGAGGGCACGCUGAAGAAUGGGAGGCGACUGGACAAGGGGGAGCGGCUUCCACUGCCAGAGGGCGAGCCUGUGAUGUUUGCAGCCUCUUGGUACAACACAGUCACAGUAGUGCCACAAACAUGAUGCCAAGCUCCAGAGUCAGCUGUUCAGGUGGCGAUGGCAGGAGCAGUGCUCUGGGACAGCUGCAAAACCUGUCUGAGGAGCAGGGAAAAGAUCUGACUGAAUUUGGAGCAAGACCAUACAUACACUGUGUAGUGAGAGACUGUAAAUACUGAUCCAGUUUGCAAUGAAGAUGCAAUUAAGUUUUGAUGAGAAGCCUCAUGAAGAUACCUUUUAGAACAACAGACAGAAGAAAUUUUAGAAUGGGCUUUCCUGAUACAAUUACAGUAUUUAUGUUCAAAUGCUGUUUCAAAUGUCAUUAUGUUCAUGCUAAUCCUGCCUAACUACAUGUUCAGUACUGUUAACAAAGUGUUACUAAAAUGAAGCCUGGAGUUAUCUAUUAAAUAUUUUACUCUUGUAAUCAGAAGAGACAGAAAAACAGGCUUUUGUUUGCAUUUGCUUAUUUUUCCAGUUGUGUGGCAGUCAGUAAAUACACCAUGGAUCAGAGAAGCACAGGGGCCCUACCCUGAUGGAGGCCAUUUUUAGCAUACUUCUUACAGGACUAACAAUUUGCUUUAGUUUUCACUAUCCAUCCCAGAGAGGCUCUGAAGUUUAAAUUCUUUUGUAUUGAAACUAGAAUUUGAAGC